Molecule: ribosomal RNA, 478 nt
Filed under: uncultured bacterium
Lineage: Bacteria
Also listed under: 1 other name
Description: bacterial SSU rRNA
Rfam family: Bacterial small subunit ribosomal RNA
Source: RNAcentral
UUUCGCAAUGCCCGAAAGGGUGACGAAGCGACGCCGCGUGUGGGAAGAAGGCCUUCGGGUUGUAAACCGCUGUCGGGAGUUAGGAAGUGCAAGGAUGUUAAUAGCGUUCUUGCUUGACUAAGGCUCCGGAGGAAGCCACGGCUAACUCUGUGCCAGCAGCCGCGGUAAUACAGAGGCGGCAAGCGUUGUUCGGAAUUAUUGGGCGUAAAGAGCACGUAGGCGGCUGUGUAAGUCGGUUGUGAAAGCCUUCCGCUUAACGGAAGAACGGCAUCCGAUACUGCAUAGCUUGAGUGCGGGAGGGGAGAGUGGAACUUCUGGUGGAGCGGUGAAAUGCGUAGAUAUCAGAAGGAACACCGGCGGCGAAGGCGACUCUCUGGUCCGUAACUGACGCUGAGUGUGCGAAAGCUAGGGGAGCAAACGGGAUUAGAUACCCCGGUAGUCCUAGCCGUAAACGAUGGGCACUAAGUAGAGGGGUUUU